AUUGCAUGGAAGGAACACAGAGGAUGCUGGUAUAUGAGUAUGUUAACAAUGGAAAUUUGGAGCAAUGGCUCCGUGGAGACAAUCAAAAUCAUGAAUAUCUUACAUGGGAGGCACGAGUGAAAAUUCUUAUUGGAACAGCCAAAGCGCUCGCGUACCUUCACGAGGCCAUUGAACCAAAAGUGGUGCACAGGGACAUAAAGUCUAGCAACAUUUUGAUUGAUGACAAAUUCAAUUCUAAAAUUUCUGACUUUGGACUUGCGAAACUGCUUGGCGCUGA
This is a non-coding RNA of Camelina sativa (false flax), 277 nucleotides long. The record is from RefSeq and is a predicted model, not a curated record. NCBI's taxonomy places the organism in Eukaryota, Viridiplantae, Streptophyta, Magnoliopsida, Brassicales, Brassicaceae.